Molecule: long non-coding RNA, 221 nt
Filed under: Monodelphis domestica (gray short-tailed opossum)
Lineage: Eukaryota; Metazoa; Chordata; Mammalia; Didelphimorphia; Didelphidae
Description: lncRNA (ENSMODG00000041370.1)
Source: RNAcentral
CUCAGAGUGAGAAGGUAUUUUGCAGAAGAGACGUGGAAAGGAGAUCAACUGGGGAUCUGAGAUCUGUCUAGCUUCAGCAAAGAAACUGGAGUUAAGAUGGAAGAAGAUAUCAGAGUGGAUUAAAAGCCAGAAUCCCACAAUAUAUUGUUUACAAAAGUCACAUAUAAAGCAGGGAGACAUACAGAGAUGAAAGAUUGCUAAUCUCUGAAUAAAGAACAUCU